Molecule: ribosomal RNA, 492 nt
Filed under: uncultured bacterium
Lineage: Bacteria
Description: partial 16S ribosomal RNA
Rfam family: Bacterial small subunit ribosomal RNA
Source: RNAcentral
AGUGAACGCUGGCGGUAGGCCUAACACAUGCAAGUCGAACGGCAGCACAGUAAGAGCUUGCUCUUACGGGUGGCGAGUGGCGGACGGGUGAGGAAUACAUCGGAAUCUACUUUUUCGUGGGGGAUAACGUAGGGAAACUUACGCUAAUACCGCAUACGACCUACGGGUGAAAGCAGGGGAUCUUCGGACCUUGCGCGAUUGAAUGAGCCGAUGUCGGAUUAGCUAGUUGGCGGGGUAAAGGCCCACCAAGGCGACGAUCCGUAGCUGGUCUGAGAGGAUGAUCAGCCACACUGGAACUGAGACACGGUCCAGACUCCUACGGGAGGCAGCAGUGGGGAAUAUUGGACAAUGGGCGCAAGCCUGACGCAGCCAUACCGCGUGGGUGAAGAAGGCCUUCGGGUCGUAAAGCCCUGUUGUUGGGAAAGAAAAGCAGCAGGUUAAUACCCCGAUGUUCUGACGGUACCCAAAGAAUAAGCACCGGCUAACUACGUG